Molecule: ribosomal RNA, 378 nt
Filed under: Triticum aestivum (bread wheat)
Lineage: Eukaryota; Viridiplantae; Streptophyta; Magnoliopsida; Poales; Poaceae
Description: partial small subunit ribosomal RNA
Source: RNAcentral
AUGAAGACAUACAUUGCUGCCAUCCUGCUGGUGCUUUCCCUCGCUGGGCGCCUCUCCGCCGCCGCCGCCGCCGAUGACGACAAGGUGGACGCCGUUAUCCGUCUCCCGAGCCACGGUCCAGGGGUCGCUGGCGCCGGUGAAGCAACGGCGGCCGUGAAGGAUUUUGAGCGGCCGAGCUGCUGCAACCGGGAGCGGUGCGGCGGGAUCCUGCCGAUAUGUCACUGCGAUGAUAUGUUCGACCACAAGUGCCCCGCCACCUGCGUGGACUGCGUGUCCUUGGGCCGAUCUGGCUACUACUGCGGAGACAGUUACCUUCCUGGCCCCGUGCCCAGGUGCACCAAGGUUGGCCGCAACGGCGACCUCUCCGGCGGUAACUAG